This 460-nucleotide ribosomal RNA is filed under the name uncultured bacterium. RNAcentral describes it as "partial 16S ribosomal RNA". It matches the Rfam family "Bacterial small subunit ribosomal RNA", at positions 338 to 795 of the family's 1533-position model. The record is from RNAcentral.
CCUACGGGAGGCAGCAGUGAGGAAUAUUGGUCAAUGGACGAGAGUCUGAACCAGCCAAGUAGCGUGAAGGAUGACUGCCCUAUGGGUUGUAAACUUCUUUUAUAUGGGAGUAAAAUGUUCCACGUGUGGGAUUUUGUAUGUACCAUAUGAAUAAGGAUCGGCUAACUCCGUGCCAGCAGCCGCGGUAAUACGGAGGAUACGAGCGUUAUCCGGAUUUAUUGGGUUUAAAGGGAGCGUAGGUGGAUUGUUAAGUCAGUUGUGAAAGUUUGCGGCUCAACCGUAAAAUUGCAGUUGAAACUGGCAGUCUUGAGUACAGUAGAGGUGGGCGGAAUGCGUGGUGUAGCGGUGAAAUGCAUAGAUAUCACGAAGAACUCCGAUUGCGAAGGCAGUUCACUGGACUGCAACUGACACUGAGGCUCGAAAGUGUGGGUAUCAAACAGGAUUAGAUACCCCAGUAGUC